Molecule: ribosomal RNA, 134 nt
Filed under: uncultured Micrococcus sp.
Lineage: Bacteria; Bacillati; Actinomycetota; Actinomycetes; Micrococcales; Micrococcaceae
Description: partial 16S ribosomal RNA
Rfam family: Bacterial small subunit ribosomal RNA
Source: RNAcentral
CCUACGGGAGGCAGCAGUGGGGAAUAUUGCACAAUGGGCGAAAGCCUGAUGCAGCGACGCCGCGUGAGGGAUGACGGCCUUCGGGUUGUAAACCUCUUUCAGUAGGGAAGAAGCGUAAGUGACGUACCUGCAGA